This 81-nucleotide transfer RNA is filed under the name Amborella trichopoda. It matches the Rfam family "tRNA". From Rfam's summary of the family: Transfer RNA (tRNA) molecules are approximately 80 nucleotides in length. The record is from Rfam by way of RNAcentral. Lineage: Eukaryota; Viridiplantae; Streptophyta; Magnoliopsida; Amborellales; Amborellaceae.
GCCUUAAUGGUGAAAUGGUAGACACGCGAGACUCAAAAUCUUGGGCUAAAGAGCGUGGAGGUUCGAGUCCUCUUCAAGGCA